CUUCCGUAGGGGAACCUGCGGAAGGAUCAUUAUUGAAACCAUUGUGAAGGAGGUUGAGCUGGCUCUUCUAGAGCAUGUGCUUGCUUUCUUUCAAUAUUCAUCCACCUGUGCACUUCUUGUAGAGGAUCUGGAAUGGGCGCAAGCCUUAGUACAGUUCUUCUAUGUCUUUACACACACUUAAUGUAUGUCUAGAAUGUUGUUUAAUUGGGUACUUAACUGGCCCUUUAAAACUAUACAACUUUCAGCAACGGAUCUCUUGGCUCUCGCAUCGAUGAAGAACGCAGCGAAAUGCGAUAAGUAAUGUGAAUUGCAGAAUUCAGUGAAUCAUCGAAUCUUUGAACGCACCUUGCGCCUCUUGGUAUUCCGAGAGGCAUGCCUGUUUGAGUGUCAUUAAAUUCUCAACCUCAAAAGCUUUUGCUUAUUGAGUGCUUGGAUGUGAGGGCUGCUGGCUUUGAAUAAGAGUCGGCUCCCUUUAAAUGCAUUAGUGGAAACCUUGUGUAGGCCACAUUGGUGUGAUAAUUAUCUACGCCAUUGGCAUUGUGUCUACAGUCGGAGUGGUUUAACGAUCACUACGGUUUGGAGGGCUGCAGUUUGUAAUGAAUUGCUCUCUCUGUCGAAGGUAUCUGCUUCAAACUGUCCUAAGUUAUUGGACAAUAUUUGAACUGUUUGACCUCAAAUCAGGUAGGACUACCCGCUGAACUUAAGCAUAUCAAUAAGCCGGAGGAAAC
This 728-nucleotide ribosomal RNA is filed under the name Paramarasmius palmivorus. Its description in RNAcentral is "eukaryotic LSU rRNA". The stretch from base 237 to 390 matches the Rfam family "5.8S ribosomal RNA". The record is from RNAcentral. Lineage: Eukaryota; Fungi; Basidiomycota; Agaricomycetes; Agaricales; Marasmiaceae.